Molecule: unclassified non-coding RNA, 327 nt
Filed under: Basidiomycota sp.
Lineage: Eukaryota; Fungi; Basidiomycota
Description: partial contains small subunit ribosomal RNA, internal transcribed spacer 1, and 5.8S ribosomal RNA
Rfam family: Eukaryotic small subunit ribosomal RNA (bases 1-47)
Source: RNAcentral
AAAGUCGUAACAAGGUUUCCGUAGGUGAACCUGCGGAAGGAUCAUUAUCGAAUUUAAAGCUUGGUUGAGCUGCCACUUCGGUGGAUGUGCUUGCCUCGCCGUCUAUUCUCAACACCUGUGCACACUUAGCGGUUUUUCUCUUUAGGCGGGGGGGUUAAAGGGUUCUGGUAACAGAUCCUUUUUUCUCUCUUUGUUUUGAGGAGAGAAGCUUGCGCCUUUUAUAAUACCCCCUUUUAAAACAGUCAAUGAACGCAAAUGUAGGCACACUGUAAAACGUGAUUGCUGAAUUAAAUUAUACAACUUUUAACAACGGAUCUCUUGGCUCUC